This 471-nucleotide ribosomal RNA is filed under the name uncultured Acidovorax sp. Its description in RNAcentral is "bacterial SSU rRNA". It matches the Rfam family "Bacterial small subunit ribosomal RNA", at positions 906 to 1382 of the family's 1533-position model. Lineage: Bacteria; Pseudomonadati; Pseudomonadota; Betaproteobacteria; Burkholderiales; Comamonadaceae. The record is from RNAcentral.
GGAAUUGACGGGACCGCACAGGCGGUGGAUGAUGUGGUUUAAUUCGAUGCAACGCGAAAACCUUACCCACCUUGACAUGUACGGAACCUUUAGAGAUAGAGGGUGCUCGAAAGAGAGCCGUAACACAGGUGCUGCAUGGCUGUCGUCAGCUCGUGUCGUGAGAUGUUGGGUUAAGUCCCGCAACGAGCGCAACCCUUGUCAUUAGUUGCUACAUUCAGUUGGGGCACUCUAAUGAGACUGCCGGUGACAAGCCGGAGGAAGGUGGGGAUGACGUCAAGUCCUCAUGGCCCUUAUAGGUGGGGCUACACACGUCAUACAAUGGAUGGUACAAAGGGUCGCCAACCCGCGAGGGGGAGCCAAUCCCAUAAAGCCAUUCGUAGUCCGGAUCGCAGUCUGCAACUCGACUCCAUGAAGUCGGAAUCGCUAGUAAUCGUGGAUCAGAAUGCCACGGUGAAUACGUUCCCGGGGCUU